This 253-nucleotide ribosomal RNA is filed under the name uncultured bacterium. Its description in RNAcentral is "partial 16S ribosomal RNA". It matches the Rfam family "Bacterial small subunit ribosomal RNA", at positions 524 to 776 of the family's 1533-position model. The record is from RNAcentral.
UACGGAGGGUGCAAGCGUUAUCCGGAUUUACUGGGUUUAAAGGGUGUGUAGGCGGACUUAUAAGUCAGGGGUGAAAUCUCCGAGCUCAACUCGGAAACUGCCUUUGAUACUAUUAGUCUUGAAUUAUGUCGAGGUUGGCGGAAUAUAACAUGUAGCGGUGAAAUGCAUAGAUAUGUUAUAGAACACCGAUUGCGAAGGCAGCUGGCUAGACAUAUAUUGACGCUGAGGCACGAAAGCGUGGGUAGCGAACGGG